Long non-coding RNA from Hydra vulgaris (swiftwater hydra), 170 nucleotides. RefSeq lists it as uncharacterized. NCBI's taxonomy places the organism in Eukaryota, Metazoa, Cnidaria, Hydrozoa, Anthoathecata, Hydridae. The record is from RefSeq and is a predicted model, not a curated record.
UAUAAUAAUGUUGCACAUUUUCGAUUCUACUUUUUUUAUUUCUUCUCUUAUUUUUAACUAUUUCAUGAUAGAGUAUUUUGCGUGUUUUUGUGCGGGGCUGUGCAUUGUUAUGUUUUUUUUUACAUGAAAUAAAGUAAAUAAAAUAAUUUUAUAAAUAGAGCUAUUUGAAA